GACGGAGGGUGCUAGCGUUGUUCGGAAUCACUGGGCGUAAGGGGCGCGUAGGCGGCCUCAGGUGUCGGAUGUGAAAGCCCGGGGCUCAACCCCGGAGGUGCAUCCGAAACUCUGGGGCUGGAGGUCGGAAGAGGAGGGUGGAAUACCCAGUGUAGAGGUGAAAUUCGUAGAUAUUGGGUGGAACACCGGUGGCGAAAGCGGCUCUCUGGUCCGGACCUGACGCUGAGGCGCGAAAGCGUGGGGAGCAAACAGG
Molecule: ribosomal RNA, 253 nt
Filed under: uncultured bacterium
Lineage: Bacteria
Description: partial 16S ribosomal RNA
Rfam family: Bacterial small subunit ribosomal RNA
Source: RNAcentral